RNAcentral lists this transfer RNA (107 nucleotides) under Saccharata proteae CBS 121410. RNAcentral describes it as "tRNA-Phe". It matches the Rfam family "tRNA". Rfam says of the family: Transfer RNA (tRNA) molecules are approximately 80 nucleotides in length. Their secondary structure includes four short double-helical elements and three loops (D, anti-codon, and T loops). The record is from RNAcentral. Lineage: Eukaryota; Fungi; Ascomycota; Dothideomycetes; Botryosphaeriales; Saccharataceae.
GCAGCUUUAGCUCACUUGGGAGAGCGCCAGACUGAAGUUCGACUUCGGUUAAGCAACCACAUCUGUGCGGUAUCUGGAGGUACUGUGUUCGAUCCACAGAAGCUGCA